This 254-nucleotide ribosomal RNA is filed under the name uncultured bacterium. Its description in RNAcentral is "partial 16S ribosomal RNA". It matches the Rfam family "Bacterial small subunit ribosomal RNA", at positions 524 to 776 of the family's 1533-position model. The record is from RNAcentral.
UACAGAGGUCUCAAGCGUUUGUUCGGAUUCAUUGGGCGUAAAGGGUGCGUAGGUGGUGAUGCAAGUCUGGUGUGAAAUCUCGGAGCUCAACUCCGAAAUUGCACCGGAUACUGCGUGACUCGAGGACUGUAGAGGAGAUCGGAAUUCACGGUGUAGCAGUGAAAUGCGUAGAUAUCGUGAGGAAGACCAGUGGCGAAGGCGGGUCUCUGGACAGUUCCUGACGCUGAGGCACGAAGGUCAGGGGAGCAAACGGG